This is a long non-coding RNA of Haemorhous mexicanus (house finch), 5217 nucleotides long. RefSeq lists it as uncharacterized. The record is from RefSeq and is a predicted model, not a curated record. NCBI's taxonomy places the organism in Eukaryota, Metazoa, Chordata, Aves, Passeriformes, Fringillidae. The transcript is spliced from 2 exons.
AGGAAAUCCUCCAAGUAAAGAUUGCGAGAACUGAGGUGACUGACAUUUGCUUGUUUGUUUGUUUGUUUGUUUUCAAAGUACGAGCAGGUGCAAACCUCCCUAGUUGAAGAGACCCUGUCACUGGAAGAGGAAGAGCCCUUCAAGACUCCGUGGAGGUUGCUGGCAGGAGCAUAUCGGGGACAUCGGCUGAUUUAUUUGCUUAUUCAGUAGGCUGUUUCGGCUGUUUGGUCUGACCUGCCCAGACUGUCACUGAGAUAUUUGGAAGCUUGAACAUACAGGCUGGGGCUCUGCUACAGAGCAUGCUCAUGACUCCCUUCUGGCUGCAGACUGGGUUUUCUUCCAUGGAAAGCCAGAGGUGGUUUGAAUCCACAAGACAUCCCAGUGUGGAGUCAGGGUACAGCUGUGCCGGGCAGCUAGGCUCAAGAGCACCGAAGAACUAAAACAUCCUGUAAUACUGGAGUCACAGUCAGCUCUCGUUCUGCUCAUGCCCAGAAGACUUGCCUGCCUGAACCUGCUUUCCUUCCACCCCUGAGGCCAUGCAGGUGUGAUGCAGUACUAGGAGGGCGCCCAAACUGCCCACGGUCACAGCCCUAUGAACCACCACACACUGCAACCCACUUGCUACUCACCACACUUGCCAUCCAAGAACUGAUAAGUCUUGGAUAAAUUCUGGGAUGCUGAUUUUCACCUCAGAUUUUCACUUUCAACUCGUUUGGCUAGAAAAGAGUAACUGGUGGCAAGAGCACUGUUGGAUAAUGCAAAGCUCAGUGUGUCAGAGGAGCUACAAUGUAAUCAAGGAAACCAAGUGGAGGUCUUGUGAUUUGUCAUGGGCGACAAACGUGGAGUGAGGUGGAAGCCACAGGAUCUCAUUCUUCUACCUGAUACCUGGAAUAUUUUGUACAAACCAAGUACACCUCCUAUGGAAAAAUAUUCUGUACAAUGCAACAACAAAGAAUGCAAGGUUUGACUGUGGCCCCACUUGGAGCACUUUGCAAAAUAGUGGUUAGUAAGAUAUGAAAUUGGGGUACAUUUUAUACCUAAGUGGGGGGAUGAGAAUUUGACACAAAAUUGCAGGGACAGGUUGAUGGGUUUGUCCUCCUUGCCCUCCCUAGAAGGGAUACCUUUUGCUAAGCCUUGUGUCCUCAGCUAUGCUGAGUGUUGAUCCAGGAUAUUCAGCUUGUGAUUGCAGUCAUAUUGUUAGUGCUACAUACAGCUAUUCUGCAGUUAAUGCCUUUAUCACUGGCAAUCCAAAAGAACCAAAGAUGUUGCAGCCAAUAAAUCCUGCUACUUUCUGAAUGCAACCAGGCCUAUAUAUCAUAGAUGAUCUGUGAACUCAGCAUCGAGUCCAUAGUUACACAUCUGUGAGAAGCAGCAGCUAAAGAGCAGCUGAGUAAUGUCUGGGUUCCUGGGCUCUGAAUUUGAAACUGAAUGUGCUUCUAACCACAAAACUAUUAAAAAAGGGUUAGUAAUUCUAUUACAACUUGAUAUUUUAGAAAGGAUUGCUAUAAUUGAAGAAAACCAUUUUUUGGGUGUUUCAAUUCAAUAUUCCUCAUGAAUACAGAGAAUGCCUCACAUCAAACUUUUGGAUUUAGAUAAAGAAAUUACAGAAAAAUCCAUGGAAUUGUAUCACAUUUUUACACAAGACUGAAGACUGACCAGUAAUUUUUAUGUAAAUAACAUUUUCCCAAGCAACCAUAUGUGAUUUUCAUUAAGCAAUUCCUUCCACUCCUUUUUUAGUCAUACCAGCGUGAGAAACUGGAAACCUGAAAGAGUUAAUGUCUCAAACAUUUGGCAGAAGGUAAAAGGAAUGUUAGCAUGCCAACUAGAUAAGGUGCAGUUAAAAAAAGAGGGUCUUGUGGAAGCAGAAGAGUGCUUUUCUGUGGUCAACUUGCUUAUCUUGAGGAACUAUUUCUAAAAACAAGUUUGAGACAGCAGUGCACUUGUACCUGUCAGGGGAAGGGAUUUGAAACCAUGAGACCCCCUAGCCUCAUUCUGAAAAGUUCAAGAAUAACAAAAUGCACAUGACUGGUUUAUAAAAUGCAAGGACUGGUUUAUAAGUAGCAAAACAGAGAGGGGCAGGGUGUGAACCCAUCAUCCCUGCACUCACCAUCCGCAGGAACUGGACCAGAGACAGUGCUGGAACUCUGGUGAGCCAGAUAUUUUCUUCUCUAUUUCCCCUAUCUAUCCUUUUCCUUUCUUCCUCUUCCUAAAAGUUUAAUUUGUUGUUGCCACAUGUUGUCCAGAAAAGCUUAAUCCACAAGCUGCUCAGAAACCACUGCUGCUACAUGUUAUUCAAAAAUGUUGAAGUUGCUGCUACAGACCGUCCAGCCUACCCUAAAGUUUAAAUCGUUGUUGCCUGUCCAUGAACCUGAAGGCUAACUGAUUGCCUUUCUUUCGCCACAAUUCAGCACAGGGUAUCCCAAGCAUCAGCUACCUCAGCGUAGGUGGCCUGGGACUGCCCCCUAGGGACCCACAACCAGUCAGAACAAGAUCCCCCCAGAAACUAAGAAACCCUUUGUCUUUAGGCAGACUAAAUUUCUAAAUGCAACAACGAUUAAUUAUUAAAACAUAGACAAUAGAAAUAACAAUUCAAAAUCUAUAACACUCCUUCAGGAAUGCAGAAAGUAAUUUUGAUGGUAACAAUACCAAUUUUCACAAUAGCCUUUUCACAUUGAAACAUCUCUGAAAACUGGGGCUUUUUUCCACUUUGUGUAUCAUAGCUAACUGCUGGUUUUGCCCACGAGCUGCUGAGAAGCCUGCUACAAGCCCUGCAGAGCUGGAGUAGUCCAUCAAGACAAGGUGUGUGGGAAAGUUUCUGGGGCUCAGUGAUGCUCGUCAGAUGCACUGAGCCACCUUUGCUUCUAGAGUCAUUCUAGCCAAGACAACUAUCACUUUAUCACCUACAUUUGUGUGUUUAUAUGGACAAAAAAUUAAGGUGUACUUUUUAAAUGCAAUUUAGAAAUUGAAGAAAGGCAGAGAAAAUAACCUAGCAUAUUUAAACAACCAAGAAAUACAAAAGCUUGAUAUAAGAAGUUGGUCUUACUUAAACAACACCUUUGCUUUUUUACAUUAGGAUGCAUUUACUAUUUAAGUAGAAGCUGAAAAGAAAAUGGAUAUAUGUGCUGCCACAAUAUAGUUUCAAUUUAAUGACAAUGCAUUUAGAUGAUUAAAAAUAUUUCAAUUAUGCUAUAAAAAAGAUCAUAUGACUAUUAAUUUCCCCUUUUGUCUAAACAUAAUAAAAUAAAUCCCAUAAUUAAGAAUUAGGUAGAGUCAGUCAGACUAAUGUCUUACACCUUGUAUCAGUGAAUGGGCAGUACAUUCUUUCUCAUCUCUGAAACACUACUGAUAAGGAAACACAAUAUUCAAACUUGUCAGUCAUAAUAAUAAAUAAUAUGAUAAUAAAAGCCAUCAGUAUUUCUAAGUGCUAAUACAUUUAAACAUAUUUUGUUACAGCUUGUCACGUAAUGAAGACAAAACCAUUGAGUAAGCAUUUUGGUGUGUCACAUUUACAUUAUAUCAUCCUUAUUUCCUAAAUACUAUUUCAUCAUUAACUUCAAGUGAAAUCAGUGCACAAGGCUGGGAAGUGCAUUGCAUUUAAAAUCAAAUUCCCUGCUGUCUGAUGUACUUACACCAAGCAAGUAAUCUUCUAAAAAGGAAUAAUUACCAUUGCCUCCAUCCUCCCCUCCCUCUCACAUUUUCAUUUUUCUGGUUUCACUACUUUAUUUUCUAUCACAUAAGAAACUUCAGACAAUAGGAAAAAAAAAAAAAAAGAUGUGGUAUAACUUGGGACAAAUCACUCAUACCUGCUGGAAACCUGAAUCCUGCAGUGAAACCACUCUGCAGAAGAGGCAGAUCCAGAAGGAGCACAGCACCCCCUUCUUCACUGCCCUGUAUCUAUGCACUGGAGCCACUGCAAUCAGCAUGAGGCUGUGUGGAACUCAAGUUGGGAGGCAAGGACAAGUCAGCCAGGCUACUCAGACUCACAGAAUCAUAGAGAUGGUUUGGGUUGCAAGAGGAUCUUGAAGAUUGUCUAGUUUCAAAGCCCCUGCCACAGGCAGGGAUACCAUCAACCACGCCAGGUUGCUCAAAGCUCCAUCUAACCUGGCCUUGAACACCUCCAGGGAUGGAACACCCACAGCUUCCCCAGGAAAUCUAUUCCAUUCCCUCACCACCCUCAGAGAAAAGAUUUUUUUCCUGAUAUCUGAUCUAAACCUACACUUUUUCACUUUGAAGCCACUCCCCCUUGUCCUGUCACUACAUGCUCUUGUAAAGUCUUGCCCCAUCUUUUGUGUAAGUUCCUUUCAGGCCCUGGAAGGCUACUGUUUGUCCUCCAAGUUCUCUUUUUUCCAGGCUGAACAAUCCCAACUCUCUCAACCUUUCCUUACAGAAGUGCACCAUCUCUCUGACCAACUUGGUGGCAUCCUCUGGACUCGCUCCAGGUCAGUGUUGGAGACCCCAGAGCUGGAUGCAGCACUCCAGGUCAGGCCUCACCUCACCAGGGCAGAGGGGCAGAAUCACCUCCCUUACCCUACUGGCCAUGCUGCUUUUGAGGCAGCCCAGGACACAACUGAUUUCUGGGCUAAACCAAACCGUACAGCACAAGGGUCUGGAUUUCCUUGAGCAGAUGAGAGAGUAAGCACUUGCCCCAGGGGCUGAGCAGAGAAGGCUGCCUCUCCACUGCUGCUGAGAAGUAAUAGACAUUUCCCCCAUUUGAGGCCUCCAGCAUUUCCCCAGCUCCUGAGGAGGUGCAGCAAAAGGCUGCUCAGUAUGGCACUGUUCAGGACCAUGCCGGUCCCAGAGAGCAAUGCAGCAGCCUUGGAGCUGCUCUAGCUUCACCUUGCUGCAAGGAGAGUAGCAGAGAGAGCAGAGUCAAGCUCACAGCCUCUCUUUGCCCAGGCAGGGUGAGGUGGUUUGUGCUAGUGUUGUACCACAGCCAGAUUGACUGGCAGCAGCCUGAAUGAAGAUCUAUCACAGCAGUCUUGUUAAGCCACUGAAUCACAGCUGCUGCUUGCCACUGUCCAUUCUCAGUAUGCUUCAGUAUGCUAAAGUGGAGAAAUGAGGGCAAAAGAAACAGCAGCGUGUAUGAAAAAAACAUGUCGUGCCUUUAUUCAAUUUUACAAUGGACUCUUCUUCAAAGUGCCUUUACAUAACACACAUGGAAACUUUGGCAUUACUUAUAUAAAUAUAUCAAAAGGAAAAAAUAUUUUUUAAAAAACA